CACGGAGGGUGCAAGCGUUAUUCGGAAUCACUGGGCGUAAAGCGCGCGUAGGCGGUCUCUUAAGUCAGAAGUGAAAGCCCGGGGCUCAACCCCGGAAGUGCAUUUGAAACUAAGGGACUUGAGUAUGGGAGAGGGAAGUGGAAUUCCUGGUGUAGCGGUGAAAUGCGUAGAGAUCAGGAGGAACACCGGUGGCGAUGGCGACUUCCUGGACCAAUACUGACGAUGAGGCGCGAAGGAGUGGGGAGCAAACAGG
This 253-nucleotide ribosomal RNA is filed under the name uncultured bacterium. RNAcentral's name for it is "partial 16S ribosomal RNA". It matches the Rfam family "Bacterial small subunit ribosomal RNA", at positions 524 to 776 of the family's 1533-position model. The record is from RNAcentral.